Molecule: ribosomal RNA, 227 nt
Filed under: Escherichia coli
Lineage: Bacteria; Pseudomonadati; Pseudomonadota; Gammaproteobacteria; Enterobacterales; Enterobacteriaceae
Description: partial 23S ribosomal RNA
Rfam family: Bacterial large subunit ribosomal RNA
Source: RNAcentral
CAGGUGGUCAGGUAGAGAAUACCAAGGCGCUUGAGAGAACUCGGGUGAAGGAACUAGGCAAAAUGGUGCCGUAACUUCGGGAGAAGGCACGCUGAUAUGUAGGUGAAGUCCCUCGCGGAUGGAGCUGAAAUCAGUCGAAGAUACCAGCUGGCUGCAACUGUUUAUUAAAAACACAGCACUGUGCAAACACGAAAGUGGACGUAUACGGUGUGACGCCUGCCCGGUGC